RNAcentral lists this ribosomal RNA (709 nucleotides) under uncultured bacterium. RNAcentral describes it as "bacterial SSU rRNA". It matches the Rfam family "Bacterial small subunit ribosomal RNA", at positions 22 to 721 of the family's 1533-position model. The record is from RNAcentral.
GCUCACAUUGUACGCUGGCGGAAUGCUUUACACAUGCAAGUCGAACGGCAGCACGGGAGCUUGCUCCUGGUGGCGAGUGGCGAACGGGUGAGUAAUGCGUCGGAACGUACCGAGUAAUGGGGGAUAACGCAGCGAAAGUUGUGCUAAUACCGCAUACGCCCUGAGGGGGAAAGUGGGGGAUCGCAAGACCUCACGUUAUUCGAGCGGCCGACGUCUGAUUAGCUAGUUGGUGGGGUAAUGACUCACCAAGGCGACGAUCAGUAGCGGGUCUGAGAGGAUGAUCCGCCACACUGGGACUGAGACACGGCCCAGACUCCUACGGGAGGCAGCAGUGGGGAAUUUUGGACAAUGGGGGCAACCCUGAUCCAGCCAUUCCGCGUGAGUGAAGAAGGCCUUCGGGUUGUAAAGCUCUUUCAGCUGGAACGAAACGGUUCGCUCUAACAUAGCGGGCUAAUGACGGUACCAGCAGAAGAAGCACCGGCUAACUACGUGCCUAGCAGCCGCGGUAAUACGUAGGGUGCGAGCGUUAAUCGGAAUUUACUGGGCGUAAAGCGUGCGCAGGCGGAUUGUUUAGCAAGAUGUGAAAUCCCCGGGCUUAACCUGGGUAAUGGCAUUUUGAACUGGCAGUCUAGAGUGCGUCAGAGGGGGGUGGAAUUCCACGUGUAGCAUUGAAAUGCGUAGAGAUGUGGAGGAACACCAAUGGCGAAGG